RNAcentral lists this ribosomal RNA (486 nucleotides) under uncultured bacterium. Its description in RNAcentral is "partial 16S ribosomal RNA". It matches the Rfam family "Bacterial small subunit ribosomal RNA", at positions 29 to 523 of the family's 1533-position model. The record is from RNAcentral.
AACGAACGCUGGCGGCGUGCUUAACACAUGCAAGUCGAACGGAAAGGCCCCAGCUUGCUGGGGUACUCGAGUGGCGAACGGGUGAGUAACACGUGGGUGAUCUGCCCUGCACUUUGGGAUAAGCUUGGGAAACUGGGUCUAAUACCGAAUAUGACCACUUCUUGGAUGUUGUGGUGGAAAGCUUUUGCGGUGUGGGAUGAGCCUGCGGCCUAUCAGCUUGUUGGUGGGGUAAUGGCCUACCAAGGCGGCGACGGGUAUCCGGCCUGAGAGGGGGUACGGACACAUUGGGACUGAGAUACGGCCCAGACUCCUACGGGAGGCAGCAGUGGGGAAUAUUGCACAAUGGGCGCAAGCCUGAUGCAGCGACGCCGCGUGGGGGAUGAAGGCCUUCGGGUUGUAAACUCCUUUCGCUAUCGACGAAGCCACUUGUGGUGACGGUAGGUAGAUAAGAAGCACCGGCUAACUACGUGCCAGCAGCCGCAGUAA